This 3843-nucleotide long non-coding RNA is filed under the name Sus scrofa (pig). RNAcentral describes it as "lncRNA (ENSSSCG00040002979.1)". Lineage: Eukaryota; Metazoa; Chordata; Mammalia; Artiodactyla; Suidae. The record is from RNAcentral.
CAUGAACUGAUCAAGAGAUGAUCCAAGAACAUUUGCAUCAUCAAUUCUUGCUUUGAAAUGCUUCUAAAAACCAAAUUCUUGGUUCUUAUCACAGAUAUAUUCAGUCAGUUUUCUGAUGGAUGCAGCUCAGGGUCUGCUUUUCUAAAAAUUUUCUUGGGUUAUUUUUAAUGCAUUUAAAAUUUUUGAGAAUCAUGGGUAAAGGUGAUAACUAAAGCCUUGUGGUAGAGAAGAUUAUUUGGGAGAAAGCAUAAAGCAUGGAGAGAUUUUUACCAAAUGAACAAGGUUAUAGACAAGAAUGGUAAUGUCUUGCAGAAACUACGGAGUUUGAAAAAACUGUUUAAAGAGGAUAAAAAGGAAGAUUCUUGAGAGUAGAGAAAGUAGUAAUGGGAAGAUAAAAGUUUUACGGAGGUGAGGUGGUGAAGACUUCAGAGAGAGCCACAUCAUGUUUUGUAAAGAGGUUGCCUAAAAAGAGACAGGAAAAGAAUACUGGUUUCAUCAAUUUGUCAGUCAUCACUGACCCUUGAGGCAGUUGUUUCAAUAAACUGAUGGGAGUGAAAAUAAUAUGAUAUCAUAAAGCACUGAAGGAACUGAAGAUUCAGAGAUAAACUAUUUUGAGACUGUUUUCCUUUUAUGGGAGGACGGUAUAUGUUGUUCAUAACUCAGUUUAAUUUCUGUUUCAAAUUCUCAUUCAUCUAAGGAAGAGAACAUGUGAUGUCAGCGGGGGAUUUACCCUGUACUUUACUCUCCUAGAAUGUGCAGCCUCCAACUUUGUGUUCAGGUGGGUCCAGGCAGAUCAUCGCUGAGAUGAUCUGGCCCGUCUUUAAGGAGCCUUUCAACCUGACAGCUUUCCCUCUCCUCUCAAAUCAUAUUAAGGCGGGGGAAUCCAUGGGGCAGGUGUGGCCUGGCACGUCGAGUUGUAUCAAACAGAUGUUUCCUCUUGGAGCAAACUCUCUGGGGUUUCCUCUUGAGUAUCACAUACCCAUCCUGGAGUUUCUGUUGUGCACCAGGGCUUCUCCCCUUGAAACCCUCUUCUCUUCCCCAGAUGCCAUUCCAGAUAUGUUACACAUAUUAUAUACACACUUUAGUCCACAAAAUAGUAGCAGAAGAUCGCUCCUGUUAUUGGUAACCUGCAUUUUUUUUUUUUUUAGUUCUGGAUGACAUUUUAAAAAAUAUUUUAUUUUAUUAUUAUUAAAGUAUAGUUGAUGUACAAUGUUUCUUCAAGUCCUUUUGUACAGCAGAGUGACCCAAUCACACACACUUCCCUGUGCUGUACAGCGGGACCCCAUUGUACAUCCAUUCUAGAUAUAACCGUUUGCACCCCCCAAGUGCCUAUCCAUCCCACUCCUUCCCCUUCCCCCCCAGUCUGCUCUUCUUGGCCAUAAUCUGUUUCCGUUUUUUGGUUGCUUAUUUGUUUGUUUGUUAUUUUUAGAUGGGAUCAUCCGUUCCAUAUUUUAGAUUCCACAAGUAAGUGAUGUCAUAUAUUUGUCUUUUUCUUUCUGGCUUACUUCACUCAGUAUGAGUCUCUAGAUCCAACCGUGUUGCUGCAAAUGGCAUUAGUUUUGUCUUUUUUAUGGAUGGGUAGUAUUCCAUUGUGUAUAUAUACCACAUCUUCUUAAUCCAUUCAUCUGUUGAUGGACAUUAAAGUUGUUUUCCACAUCUUGGCUAUUGUGAAUAGUGUUGCCAUGAACAUAGGGUUGCUUGUAUCUUUUUCAAUGAAAGUUUUAGCAAGAGUCACAGCUCGAGCCUAAACUCUAUUUGAGAAUUGGGUGUGUGAGUACACCUGGAAAAGAAGGAGGGGAGAGAGGCCCAUGUACCUGGGGAAGGGCCAGGGUGAGGAGAGGAGCUCUUUCGAAGGGAAAAGAGUCCAAAUGUGAUUUGUGUAGAGUACACAGGAAUGAUCCAGAGGACAGCUUGGUAUCUGUCGGAUGGUUCCUGGUUUAACUCUUAGGUGGUUCUGCAACAACAGAGCUAAUAUAAAUUAAAAGAGUCAUUUCUCCAAACUCCCCACAGGACACUGACUUACAAAUUGUUAACUACAUUGAGAAUUGCUGGUCCUUGAAGGAGAAGCAGUAGUACAGGCCAUAGCAGAUUGGUGACGGGACAGAGGCAUCUUUUUUGUCAGUAUAUUCUGUCUUUCACUUCGAUAAACAGUAACCUUGCUGCAGAUAUGGAUACUGUUAAGACUUGGACAACGGCAAUCUUACAGCCUCUGGAAGGCAACAGUGGGCAACGCUGGCAUGAAUGCCACUUUCAGCAGCCCUCCAGUGGGCUAACAGAGAAAGAGAGAAACCUGCUGAAGGAUUUCAGUGGUAUUUGAUAGGGAAUAAAGCUCCCACCAAGCAGGCUAGGGUCUACUAUUUUGUAUCAGUUGUUGGUGAGUCUGUUUGUUUUUGUUUUUGUUUUUUUUUUUUUCUUAUCUGGGGUAUAGUGAACAAACAGAUGAAAUUGAAUAGAAAACUGAGAUUCAAAGAAUUAAGCAAACUUGUAUAAAAUUCUAUACAGGGCUAAUAGGAUCAUUUGUCUACUCAUGCUAUCAUCUUCCUAUUUGGAAGGAGAAGAUUCCAGGGAAGAAAAAAAGAUUGUAAUUAUCUCACAGUAAUCGAUGGCAGGGUCUUGGAUAAAUUAGGGGAAGAUAAAAUUAAGAAUAUAGCUGGAGGAAUUAAUUAAAGACAUUUAGAAAAUGGAAUGUAAGGAAUUCAAGCAGAGGUAUUUCAGACAAAAGAUUAUAAGCAUAUGGAAUCAGAUAAGAAAGCUAGCUGAGUUUUCAGCAUACAAAGUAAUUAAAGAAAGACAUCUGGAACAGGAGAGAAAUAAGAGAAGCAGAGGACAUAAAAGAUAGGUUUGAGAUAAACUAAGGAGUGUUUUGGUAAGGCCAGAUGUUUUUUUUUUCUCCUUUGCUUGACAUAUAUUAUGUCUUUCUUAACCACAAUCCCAAACAUUGCACAUUUCAACAUGUAUAUUUGUCUCUAGAAAUAUCUAGGACCUAUAUAAAUGUAUCCGCGAAUGAUUCAAAGAUCAACGUGCCCCUUUUUCAUGGUUAACUUAGCUUUUGUCUAGGUUCCCACAAAAGUCUGAAAUGUAUACUCAUGAUUACAUAUUUUGGGCCUCAAAAAUGACAACAAAAAUGGCUCUUUAACAUAGUUUUCUAUUGCAGUAGGAAACAACAUCCAGUAAAGUACCCCUCCAAAUGUCUUUCAUCAUGCUCUUCUCAUUAUGUGAGGCAAUUUUGAUGAUGAGGGAUGGAAGUGCAUUAUCCUUUUGUUCCCUGUUAUACUGAGGGCUAAUCACAUCAGUAUGAAUGGUGAGAAUAGGUCAUUUUACAGGGAUUCUUCUCAUUUGUGUUUAGAAGCAUAACUUCAGCUUGUGGAAUGUCUUUGGUCAUUGCCUAAAUUGUGUGAUGGUAUCGCUGGCUGCAGCUGUGUUGUGACUGGGGGAAGGCAUUGAAGAAAGGCCUGCUCACCCCAAAUAUCUUUCCCUCUGGCUGACUGUAUGUGGGAAUCACCAAUGACUGUCAUUCUCCAAAAGGACAAGAAACUCAGUGAAUGAAUAGAUUUUAUGGUAAAAUGUCUCCUUUUGACUUGACUAGGAAUAUAUUGGUUAUUCACAGGGAAUUUGGGAUACCAAAUUCUUGGAUGGGAACACAGUGCAACUAAAUUCUCUCUGGCACAAAAGAGAGCAAUGAUACAGAAUCAGUCUAGUCAGGGAAACAACCUCACAACAAAGGGGUCUGUGGUGCUGGGCUCCAUCAUUUCCAAGGUUUACUGAUAAAAUAUGUGUGGUAUUGCUGGCUGUGACUCUGAGCAAGUUGUUGUCCUCAGAUUGGUUUUUCAGGAAAAAAAAAAA